This 471-nucleotide ribosomal RNA is filed under the name uncultured bacterium. RNAcentral describes it as "bacterial SSU rRNA". It matches the Rfam family "Bacterial small subunit ribosomal RNA", at positions 335 to 799 of the family's 1533-position model. The record is from RNAcentral.
ACUCCUACGGGAGGCAGCAGUGGGAAUCUUGCGCAAUGGGCGAAAGCCUGACGCAGCAACGCCGCGUGAGGGAUGACGGCCUUCGGGUUGUAAACCUCUUUCAGGAGGGACGAAGCUUCCGGGGUUAAUAGCCUACGGGGUGACGGUACCUCCAGAAGAAGCCCCGGCUAACUACGUGCCAGCAGCCGCGGUAAUACGUAGGGGGCAAGCGUUGUCCGGAAUCAUUGGGCGUAAAGCGCGUGUAGGCGGCUUGGUAAGUCUGGUGUGAAAACUUGGGGCUUAACCCCAAGCCUGCACUGGAUACUGCCUGGCUAGAGUCCGGGAGGGGAGAGCGGAAUUCCCAGUGUAGCGGUGAAAUGCGUAGAGAUCUGAAGGAAUACCGGUGGCGAAGGCGGCCCCCUGGACAGAUACUGACACUCAGAUGCGAAAGCGUGGGGAGCAAACAGGAUUAGAUACCCUGGUAGGACAGUG